GAAGGGUUUAGGGUUAGGUUUAUGUAGGGUUUAGGGUUUGAUAGGGUUCUAGGUUUAUGUAGGGUUUAGGGUUAGGUAGGAUUUAGGGUUUUAGGCAGUAGAAAAGGUUUAGCGUUUGGUUUAGGGUUUAAGGUUUGUUUGUUUUUUUGUUUAUGCAUUUAGUGCUGAGUUUUUGGGAUAAAAUUUUAUAUUAAUAUUAUUGAUUUAUAGUUUUUCUUAAAAAUAUUAAAAAUUUUAAAGUGAUUUUUAAUGUUCUUAAAAUAUGUAUUAUUUUUUUUAGGUUUUCUGUGAUAAUAAGUUGAAUAUAUCUUAUACCACAAAUCAUAAAUAUUUUGAGUCUUAUAUAUUUUGUUCUUCAAGUUAUUGUUACUUUUAUUUCCUUUUAUACAUUUCUCUUAAUAGUUAUGUAUGCAUCCACAAUAUUUUUUAAAAAUGAUUUUUUAUUAACUAAUGUAUUUAUUGUAGUUUUAAAUAUAUUAUAGUUUUUGUGCACUUGAUUAAAUUUUUUUGGUGUUGGUGGUAUUUGAAGUGGUUGAGAACCUGAAUGGAUAUUUACUGUCAUAAAGUUUUUGGUGUAUAUUUAAAAAUAAAAAUUUGUAAAAACUUUUAAAUCAUAUGAAUAUAAUAUUCAACACACUACUGUUGACUGUUUUAUAUACUUAAAAUUUUAAAGUAGAUAAUUGCAAAUUUGCUGAACUCAUAGAUUCGUUGCUACUUUAUAAAUUAUCACAGGAUGAGGUAUAUAUGGUAAAUAUUGCUUUGAUGAUAAUAUCACGUCCAUAUCGUAAUGUGUGUUUUUUUUGUUUUAUCUAUUAUGUAUUAAGAAAUAAUUAACACAUUCAAUAAUACUAAAGAGUAAAAAGCCCUUUCAAUUGUUCAUAGUAUAAGCCCAAAGUUAAACUCAAGUCUAGCCAAAAAAAAAAAACUCAAAGACAUGUGUCGGUAUGUCAGAGAGUGACUUUCCACGUGGAUAGCUUAGGAGAGAGGCAAACAUAUUUUUAUAUAUAUAGAUUCAUUACUAAAAUAAAUAUUAAAAUAACUCAAUAUUAUAUUUUUAAUUAUAUAAUU
Molecule: long non-coding RNA, 1068 nt
Organism: Brassica rapa (field mustard)
Lineage: Eukaryota; Viridiplantae; Streptophyta; Magnoliopsida; Brassicales; Brassicaceae
Source: RefSeq, a predicted model, not a curated record